Molecule: ribosomal RNA, 506 nt
Filed under: uncultured bacterium
Lineage: Bacteria
Description: partial 16S ribosomal RNA
Rfam family: Bacterial small subunit ribosomal RNA
Source: RNAcentral
AGUGAACGCUGGCGGUAGGCCUAACACAUGCAAGUCGAACGGCAGCACAGGAGAGCUUGCUCUCUGGGUGGCGAGUGGCGGACGGGUGAGGAAUACAUCGGAAUCUACUCUGUCGUGGGGGAUAACGUAGGGAAACUCACGCUAAUACCGCAUACGACCUACGGGUGAAAGCAGGGGACCUUCGGGCCUUGCGCGAUUGAAUGAGCCGAUGUCGGAUUAGCUAGUUGGCGGGGUAAAGGCCAACCAAGGCGACGAUCCGUAGCUGGUCGGAGGGGAGGAGCAGCUAGACUGGAACAGAGACACGGUCCAGACUCCGACGGGAGGCAGCAGUGGGGAAUAGAGGGCAAUGGGGGCAAGCCUGAUCCAGCCAUACCGCGUGGGUGAAGAAGGCCUUCGGGUUGUAAAGCCCUUUUGUUGGGAAAGAAGUCCAGCUGGCUAAUACCCGGUGGGGAUGACGGUACCCAAAGAAGAAGCACCGGCUAAGUUCGUGCCAGCCGCCGCAGUAA